AUUGAAUGCUGGCGGAAUGCUUUACACAUGCAAGUCGAACGGUAGAGGGGGCAACCCCUCGAGAGUGGCGAACGGGUGAGUAAUAUAUCGGAACGUGCCCAGUCGUGGGGGAUAACGUAGCGAAAGUUACGCUAAUACCGCAUACGAUCUAAGUAUGAAAGCGGGGGAUCGCAAGACCUCGCGCGAUUGGAGCGGCCGAUAUCAGAUUAGGUAGUUGGUGGGGUAAAGGCUCACCAAGCCAACGAUCUGUAGCUGGUCUGAGAGGACGCCCAUCCACACCGGAACUGAGACACGGUCCAGACUCCUACGGGAGGGAGCAGUGGGGAAUUUUGGACAAUGGACGCAAGUCUGAUCCAGCCAGUCCGCGUGCAGGAUGAAGUCCCUCGGGUUGUAAACUGCUUUUGUACGGAACGAAAAGGUCUCUCUUAAUACGGGGGGCUCAUGACGGUACCGUAAGAAUAAGCACCGGCUAACUACGUGCCAGCCGCCGCGGUAA
Molecule: ribosomal RNA, 496 nt
Filed under: uncultured bacterium
Lineage: Bacteria
Description: partial 16S ribosomal RNA
Rfam family: Bacterial small subunit ribosomal RNA
Source: RNAcentral